AAGGCUUCAGUACGACCCAGUCAGAACUAUAAGUCUCAAAGCCCCGACGAGUAGGGUGGCGUGCCGGUGAGCGUUGAAGGCCAAGACGUGAGUCAGGCUGGAGCCGCCGGUAGUGCAGAUCUUGGUGGUAGUAGCAAGUACUCUGGUGAACCAACCUGGAGCUGUGAGGUCUGGAUUAGGGUUCCAUGUCAACAGUGAUUGAACAUGGGUGAGUCGAUCCUAAGCCAACUGUGAAAGCAGUGACAUCCCGACAAAGGUGCAUUAGGGGGUGUGCCCGGCGCUUGCAAAGCUCAUACUCGCCUCCUCUCGAUAUAGAACGUGAUCUCGCGCGCGCGUGCGCGUGUCAUGUUUGAGUGACUCAAUGAAUACGCUCAAGAGCGUUGAUGAUGAAGAUGAUGACGUGGUACAAUGAAAGAGAGGUGGCUUGGGCGAGGUGCUUGUGGAGCGUUUGAGAUGCGCACACUAUGCUCUCUGCGUUGGUUCUAUGUCUGGCGAAAGGGAAUGGGGACUUUGUUCCUUGACCGGUCCCGGCACCCUCGAUAGGCUUUGCCAUUCAAUGGUCCAUGCAAAUGGAACCAGGCCACAGCCGCCGGCAGUCGCCCGAGGAAGAGUUUUCUUUUCUGCUUAACGCACGAGAUCAUCCCUGGAAACAGUUCGGCUGGCGAAAGGGUGCCCCGUUGCGGCAGAGCGCCACGACUGUCGUGCGCGUCUCGGUGUUCCUGCCGGUCCGUGAAGACGUGGUCGAGGGGAUUGCACUUGUAUCAACGAAACGCCCGACAAGUUCGGGACGGACCGUACCCUAUAUCCGCAUCUGGUCUCCAAGGUUCGUAGCCUCUGCAGAGUCAGACACAUGUAGGUAAGGGAAGUCGGCAAACUCGAUCCGUAACUUCGGGAAAAGGAUUGGCUCUGAGGGCCGAGCUGGGCCGGGCCUUGCCUGCAAAGCAGUACCUAUAGUGACCGGAGUUUUAGGAGUGCGAGGGGCUCUAGUAGCUGCCUGCGUUCACGCGUGGGCACGAACGAGUCUACCGCUCCGCUCCAACCACGAACGGCUGUGACGGCAAGGGCUCUGGGCGGGAGCGUUCAAACCGUAUGCUUCCCAGCUCGUCUGGGUGGUUGCGGGGCUUCGUCUGACCCAUACGGCUCCAGCGGCUAGCGGCUAACUCAGAACUGUCAUGGACCAAGGGAAUCCGACUGUCUAAUUAAAACAAAGCGUCGUGACGGCCCCUGUUGGGUGUUGACGCGACGUGAUUUCUGCCCAGUGCUCUAA
This 1267-nucleotide ribosomal RNA is filed under the name Niphargus aberrans. RNAcentral's name for it is "eukaryotic LSU rRNA". It matches the Rfam family "Eukaryotic large subunit ribosomal RNA", at positions 1357 to 2213 of the family's 3401-position model. Lineage: Eukaryota; Metazoa; Arthropoda; Malacostraca; Amphipoda; Niphargidae. The record is from RNAcentral.